AUCGCUUCUUGGCCUUUUGGCUAAGAUCAAGUGUAGUAAUACAGUGGUACCCCAGGUUACAGAUGCUUCAGGUUACAGACACAUCUGGUUACAGAGUCCACUAACCCAGAAAUAGUACCUCAGGUUAAGAACAU
Molecule: non-coding RNA, 134 nt
Organism: Podarcis lilfordi (Lilford's wall lizard)
Lineage: Eukaryota; Metazoa; Chordata; Lepidosauria; Squamata; Lacertidae
Source: the annotation of a GenBank genome assembly